RNAcentral lists this long non-coding RNA (229 nucleotides) under Sorghum bicolor (sorghum). Its description in RNAcentral is "long non-coding RNA (SBIC_LNC014894)". Lineage: Eukaryota; Viridiplantae; Streptophyta; Magnoliopsida; Poales; Poaceae. The record is from RNAcentral.
AUUCUACUCACAUUGGAUGCUAAGCCUAAAAGAAAUAUUAUUUAGAGGAGAGGUAUUCCAUCGAGGGCUCCUCUCAACUCUAUGAUGAACUUGUCUCCUCUAGGGGCCAGGGGGUCUGGUUUUAUAGUCCCCUCAAGUGAACGUGAGCCAUUGGAUCAAACCGACAUUGAUUGGACGGUUAUCCUUGAUCCUUUAGGUCGGUGGAGCUUGAUCCGCGAAAAGAGUCCCG